Molecule: ribosomal RNA, 253 nt
Filed under: uncultured bacterium
Lineage: Bacteria
Description: partial 16S ribosomal RNA
Rfam family: Bacterial small subunit ribosomal RNA
Source: RNAcentral
UACGUAGGGUGCGAGCGUUGUCCGGAAUUACUGGGCGUAAAGAGCUCGUAGGUGGUUUGUCGCGUUGUUCGUGAAAACUCACAGCUCAACUGUGGGCGUGCGGGCGAUACGGGCAGACUGGAGUACUGCAGGGGAGACUGGAAUUCCUGGUGUAGCGGUGGAAUGCGUAGAUAUCUGGAGGAACACCGGUGGCGAAGGCGGCAUCCUGGACCGACACUGACGCUGAGGAGCGAAAGCCAGGGGAGCAAACGGG